GAUGAACGCUAGCUACAGGCUUAACACAUGCAAGUCGAGGGGAAACGACAUCGAAAGCUUGCUUUGAUGGGCGUCGACCGGCGCACGGGUGAGUAACGCGUAUCCAACCUGCCCACCACCUGGGGAUAACCUUGCGAAAGUAAGACUAAUACCCAAUGAUAUCCCACGAAGGCAUCCGAAUGGGAUUAAAGAUCCGUCGCUUGCGGAUGGGGAUGCGUCUGAUUAGUUAGUCGGCGGGGUAACGGCCCACCGAGACGACGAUCAGUAGGGGUUCUGAGAGGAAAGUCCCCCACAUUGGAACUGAGACACGGUCCAAACUCCUACGGGAGGCAGCAGUGAGGAAUAUUGGUCAAUGGGCGGAAGCCUGAACCAGCCAAGUAGCGUGCAGGACGACGGCCCUAUGGGUUGUAAACUGCUUUUAUGCGGGGAUAAAGUGGGCCACGCGUGGCCUUUUGCAGGUACCGCAUGAAUAAGGACCGGCUAAUUCCGUG
Molecule: ribosomal RNA, 491 nt
Filed under: uncultured bacterium
Lineage: Bacteria
Description: bacterial SSU rRNA
Rfam family: Bacterial small subunit ribosomal RNA
Source: RNAcentral